GGGUCCGGACACACUGAGGAUUGACAGGCAAUUAUUGCUAACAGUUUCUUUUUUUAAAAGUACUGUUGCAACAACAAAUAUGCUAGUCCUUUCAUGAUUAUGUGAUAGGUGGUGCAUGGCCGUUCUUAGUUCGUGGAGUGAUCUGUCUGCUUAAUUGCGUUUCAUUAUGGACCAUGUUAUAACAUGUACUAUCUCUUGAUUUUCAAAUUUUCAUUUAUUUGAGAUUUGUUAUAAAGGAGGAGUUUUGGUGCAAUUGGUCCUGAAAGCAACGAACGUGACCGCAUCCUCUUGUUGCCUUUUUAACUUGGCAUUUUUUUAAUUUAUUUUAACAUUUUUGUCAUAACAUAAGAGGCUUUCAGAAAACUAGAGGGACCGCUGCGACUUUUUUAAACCAGAGGAAGGUUGCGGCAAUAACAGGUCUGUGAUGCCCUUAGAUGUUCCGGGCUGCACACGUGCUACAAUGAUUAUUGCAGUGAGCAUCUCAUUUUAUUUUUUGUGCUUGUCUUGUCUGCGAGUUUAUUCUCAACGACGACAGCCUUAGCCUGCUUCGAAAGUUCGCAGGU
RNAcentral lists this ribosomal RNA (563 nucleotides) under Leptammina flavofusca. Its description in RNAcentral is "partial 18S ribosomal RNA". The stretch from base 1 to 459 matches the Rfam family "Eukaryotic small subunit ribosomal RNA", at positions 1220 to 1501 of the family's 1831-position model. The record is from RNAcentral. Lineage: Eukaryota; Foraminifera; Astrorhizida; Saccamminidae.